GAGUCUACUCAGUUUUCCAGAAGGGAAAAAGGCGAGAGCUGAGUUUAGACCUGGACACCUUUCUAAAUAUCAUAGAGCAAAAGUAAAUUGCCCCAUUAAGGCUUGCACAUUACACUUAGGGUAAGUACUGUUCAACUUUCCUUUUUUAUAGGAGUUGCCUGCCUUAACUUUUCAGCUUAAUACGAGCAGCGUAAAUUAAGAAAAAAAAUUAACUCAAUCAGUUAUUUCACUGAAAUAGAAAAUUUGCAGAUUUUAAAGGGUAUCUAUUGUGCAUAAAUUUGGGGAUACGAGAAUUUGCCAGUGAAAUGAUAGCAGCUCUGUGCUUACAGAGCAAAGAUGUGCUAGUCUGAACAUGCCUGAUCUCAUCUGGAAUCGAAAGCUAAAUCUAGGUGGGCCUGUAAUAAUACCAGAAAAGGAACACAUGUAUCUUUUGUGCAACCUUUUUUUUUUUUUUUUUUUAAAGCUAGGCUUCCAAAGGGAAUGACAAAGAAGCAGGUUCUCCUCUUGCUUAAUAAGUAGUCAUAGUUUGCCUCUGGAGAUAUGUAUUUCCAGUUGUUUUAGUUGUUUUGUUUUGUUUUGUUUUGUUGUUGUCAUCGCUAUCGAAGAAUAUUCUUUCCUGUCAGUGAUUAUUAACACUUUCCGUUUUUCAGAAUGCUUUAACUCUGUUUGAUGUUUCCUCACUUGGUUACCUUUCUCAAGUCUGCGAUGACCCUCUCAGGCUUUGCCAUUCUUAUCGAUUCUUACCAGAAUGUACUUACUCAUUAGCUGUUUUGUUAUAGUUAUGGUGGAGAUAAUCUUGUUUUUCAGGCUUUUAUAACUAACCAAACAAAUUACCUUUUGAGGUGAAAUUUCUCAUAGUUAUCCUUGACACAGAACUGAACUUGUCUUGAAAAGGCUUGAAGAAAAUCCAAUUAGCCGUUUUUUGAGAACUGAAUAUUCUAAUAAAUGCAAAUGGAUUAUUUUACAAAAUACUUAUUGAUGUGCAAUGCUUUUCUAAUCUGUUUUUCUUUUCGUGCUUUAAAACAGACCCUGAAAAUUAAAUGUAUUAAAAAGAAAGAAAGAAAAAGAAAGAAACCUGCCAGGUUAAUACUGAUAUUUUAAAUACCCAAUUUAAAAUAAUGCUCAAAGUUUGAAUUUCUUUGCAACAUAUCACCUUUCAGUGUCAGUCAGUAAUACCUGGGCAGGUAUAUAUAUACAUUCACACCCACAGGGAAACAUGAAUCCACUUUACAGUUACAUUAAUUCUAUUUUAACCUACAAGAGAAAAGGUUAGCAUUACUGUAAAACUUUUGUUAAUUCAUUAUAUUUUAUUUUUCUGUAAUAAAAAAUUCACUGAACUAUUGCUUUCAUCCAAUUAUAUAUAUACUUAACACCCAUUUAUAUUCAAAUAUUUUAUCUUAAUUUAUGAAGUAUUUUUAUAAGUCUUAUAUGCUGCUGAAUUUUAUGCAGCUAUAUGAACGUUUAAGUUUUUUCUGAUACAAUUUGCUUUGUUCCGAAUCUGUUACUGUGUUAGAAGUUUUUUUCUUUCCCAAUCUAGAAAGAGUAUGGCCAUCUUUUCCUAUAUGUGAUAUCUAUACAUCUUCAGUAUUCUGAAGAAGAGAUUUUUUAACCUGCAAUCUCUUGGAAAGCUUUCAAACAAGUGGGAGAAGUAAUCUUUACUUUGCUUCUCCUUGAUCCAUCUGUUUGCCCUCACUGUACCACCCGUCACCACCAGCAACCCUGAAAAAAACAACAGUAAUAAAUAUGAUACGAUAAUUUUUCUGAUCACAGAACCAGGAAAUACCAGAGAAAAUUGUGGCAUAUGUAGGAAAAUGCCAAGAGCUUCUCCAGUAAGAUCAGCUGUUUUUAUACUUUUUUUUUUUCCUCUUGAAUUUUGUUUGUGACUUUUUUGGCUUGCUGAAGCACAUCCCCAUAAUCUUACGAAGCCACAGCAAAUUCCCAAUGCCACAACAAUACUGUGCAGCCGGGGAGAGGCCAGAAGAGCUGAUCCUGGGUGGCUGCAGGCUUCCCCAGCAAUGGUGCAAGGCAGGAGGAUGUGUAAUCUGGUCUAAAUUUGAAGAAGAGGGCAAGUAUAGCAUUUUUAUCUAGCUUGAAUAUGGCAUGGUAAUUCUGUAUUAAUGAGGUCAAUGGUAAAUGCAGUUCAGCUACACAUUUCUGUUUUUCCAGACAUACAAACACAUUCUGUGGAAAUAGAAAAUGUCUAAAAAAUGGAAAUGAUGAAAUAACUUGAGACAUGACAAAUCGCUUAACCUAUCUGUGUAAUAGUGUAUUUGUCAAAUAAAUAGAAAACCAUCUAUCCUCAUCUACUUCACAGCAGUAUUGCUAAGGCUGAUUGUGCACACAUAUAUUAAUGUAUAUAUCGUAGCUAUCUAUUUACAGCAGGGGAGAAUGGUUUUAAAAUAAAUGAAUCAGAGUUUUAUGUGUGCAUCCAUUGUGAAGAAUUCAGUUGUGUCCUUACCGUAGGAAGACAGGGUUAACUGAGAGUUUUGAGAGUUGUGGUAUGUGCUUUUCCAUUUGGGUCUGGG
Molecule: long non-coding RNA, 2525 nt
Filed under: Homo sapiens (human)
Lineage: Eukaryota; Metazoa; Chordata; Mammalia; Primates; Hominidae
Description: HSALNT0313908
Source: RNAcentral